This 460-nucleotide ribosomal RNA is filed under the name uncultured bacterium. Its description in RNAcentral is "partial 16S ribosomal RNA". It matches the Rfam family "Bacterial small subunit ribosomal RNA", at positions 338 to 795 of the family's 1533-position model. The record is from RNAcentral.
CCUACGGGAGGCAGCAGUGAGGAAUAUUGGUCAAUGGACGAGAGUCUGAACCAGCCAAGUAGCGUGAAGGAUGACUGCCCUAUGGGUUGUAAACUUCUUUUAUAAAGGAAUAAAACGAGGCACGUGUGCCUUUUUGCAUGUACUUUAUGAAUAAGGAUCGGCUAACUCCGUGCCAGCAGCCGCGGUAAUACGGAGGAUCCGAGCGUUAUCCGGAUUUAUUGGGUUUAAAGGGAGCGUAGAUGGGUUGUUAAGGCAGGUGUGAAAGUUUGCGGCUCAACCGUAAAAUUGCAAUUGAUACUGGCAGACUUGAGUACAGUUGAGGUAGGCGGAAUUCGAGGUGUAGGAGUGAAAUGCGUAGAUAUCACGAAGAACCCCGAUUGCGAAGGCAGCUUACUAAACUGUGACUGACAUUGAUGCUCGAAAGUGUGGGUAUCAAACAGGAUUAGAUACCCGAGUAGUC